GUAACGGCUCACCAAGGCGACGAUGCGUAGCCGACCUGAGAGGGUGAUCGGCCACACUGGGACUGAGACACGGCCCAGACUCCUACGGGAGGCAGCAGUAGGGAAUCUUCCGCAAUGGACGAAAGUCUGACGGAGCAACGCCGCGUGAGUGAUGAAGGUUUUCGGAUCGUAAAACUCUGUUGUUAGGGAAGAACAAGUACCGUUCGAAUAGGGCGGUACCUUGACGGUACCUAACCAGAAAGCCACGGCUAACUACGUGCCAGCAGCCGCGGUAAUACGUAGGUGGCAAGCGUUGUCCGGAAUUAUUGGGCGUAAAGCGCGCGCAGGCGGUUUCUUAAGUCUGAUGUGAAAGCCCCCGGCUCAACCGGGGAGGGUCAUUGGAAACUGGGGAACUUGAGUGCAGAAGAGGAGAGUGGAAUUCCACGUGUAGCGGUGAAAUGCGUAGAGAUGUGGAGGAACACCAGUGGCGAAGGCGACUCUCUGGUCUGUAACUGACGCUGAGGCGCGAAAGCGUGGGGAGCGAACAGGAUUAGAUACCCUGGUAGUCCACGCCGUAAACGAUGAGUGCUAAGUGUUAGAGGGUUUCCGCCCUUUAGUGCUGCAGCAAACGCAUUAAGCACUCCGCCUGGGGAGUACGGUCGCAAGACUGAAACUCAAAGGAAUUGACGGGGGCCCGCACAAGCGGUGGAGCAUGUGGUUUAAU
RNAcentral lists this ribosomal RNA (703 nucleotides) under Bacillus licheniformis. RNAcentral describes it as "bacterial SSU rRNA". It matches the Rfam family "Bacterial small subunit ribosomal RNA", at positions 257 to 950 of the family's 1533-position model. Lineage: Bacteria; Bacillati; Bacillota; Bacilli; Caryophanales; Bacillaceae. The record is from RNAcentral.